Elaeis guineensis (African oil palm) is the source of this 1712-nucleotide non-coding RNA. The record is from RefSeq and is a predicted model, not a curated record. Lineage: Eukaryota; Viridiplantae; Streptophyta; Magnoliopsida; Arecales; Arecaceae.
GUGGACUUAAUCAUCAUAGGGGAGCGACCCCGUGCUCUGAAUUCGUGUCCUCCUUUCUCUGUAUUUGCCUCCAUGGCGUGCUUCUAAUGGUCUGCUGACUGUGCCGUUUGCUGUUUGAUGUGGAACAGAUGAUAUGAAGCCUUACAAAACCCCCGACGAAGCCUACCGUCUUUUCCUCCUUGGUUUCCAACCUGGAACCCUAGGCCUGGAUUUCGCUCGUCAACUCUUGGACAGUGGAGACCAGGUUGAUUACAUCGAUAUCUCGUGGAAUUCUCGGUUCCCGCAGCAGGUCUUGCGCUAGUUUUGGAGAUUUCGUGCAGAAAUUUUGGUAUCUCGAGCCCAUUUCCUUGAUUGAAUUGUUUCUUCCAAGAUGAACAAUCUUCUCACGGACUCCUUUGAGCUCCCUCGAGGUGAAGCUUCAAGAGAUGGAGAUAUUGAAUUAGGAACCCAGGUUCCAACAAAUUCUGGAGAACUGGAGUUGGAAGGCUUCUUCAAACAGGUUCAAGAGAUCGAGAAGCAAAUUGAGAAGCUAUCAAAACUGCUGAAGAAGCUUCAGGAUGCUAAUGAGGAGUCAAAAGCUGUUACCAAGGCAGCUGCCAUGAAAGCCAUCAAGAAGCGCAUGGAGCAAGACAUUGAUGAAGUUGGGAAAAUUGCACGCCUAGCAAAAUCAAAACUUGAAGAGCUAGACAGAGAGAAUUUAGCCAGCAGACAGAAGCCUGGAUGUGGAAAGGGUUCAGGCGUAGAUCGCUCUAGAACUGCAACUACCAUUGCAGUGAAAAAGAAGUUGAAAGAAAGGAUGUCUGACUUUCAGGCUCUGAGAGAAACAAUUCAGCAGGAAUAUCGGGAGGUUGUUGAGAGAAGGGUUUUUACAGUAACAGGCAAUCAUGCUGAUGAAGAGACAAUUGACCGAUUGAUAGAGACUGGAAACAGUGAGCAAAUUUUUCAGAGAGCAAUUCAGGAGCAAGGACGUGGCCAGGUACUGGACACCGUUGCAGAAAUCCAGGAGCGGCAUGAUGCUGUUAAAGAGAUAGAGAGGAAACUUCUUGAUUUACAGCAGAAUCGAAAAUAUGCGAAGGAUGAAAACCACAAGAAGCUGAAGUUUUAUUCAUUUUGACUGAAUGAUGACUAAAGACCUCAGGGGAUUCCAAGUCUGGCUUGUUCAUUUUAUUCUCUUGCUUGGAAGUUUACAUCAUUAUGGCUUGAUCAAACGCUAUGAUAGAGAGUAUUCAGUAUUGGAUGAAGUGAGAAAUCAUGGAUGAGGAGUCCGUUAGUGAUGAUAUUUAACUGAAGAGUGGAUGGAAGACAAAUCAGCUAUAGUUUUGAAGGACAUUGUAUGCUGAUAUAUCUGUGUGAUCUGUGAGUUCCAUCGCCUCAUCAUGCUUGGAAAGGGAAAAUCUGAAGGGAGAUUUUCCUCGACAUGGCAGUACUGGUUGAGGCACAAGGUGACAUGCUGGAUAACAUUGAAUCCCAGGUUUCAAGUGCUGUUGACCAUGUUCAAUCUGGAACAACUGCUCUACAGAGAGCAAAGAAGCUGCAGAAAAACUCCCGCAAAUGGAUGUGCAUAGCUAUAUUAAUACUUCUCAUAAUUGUCGUCAUUAUAGUUGUAACUGUGAUUAAACCAUGGUCAAAAAACUAGUAGUGUUUCAGGAUUGGACAUGUUGAAUUACGAAGACUUGUAGAUUGUUUUGUUUUAUAUUUCUUGUGUGCAUGUA